AGUAGUAGCUUUCAGUCUCUGCCAACCUGGUUUGGAGCAGUUUCCCUGUGUGUGAUUUGGCGUGCUUGUCAGCCAAAUCAGAAAGCCAGUCCAAAAAUCCAGUACUUAGAGGGUGUUUGAUACCCGCGGGAGCUGUCUAGUGCCCACAAUGCGCAGCCUAGGUGGAAGUCACAGCUGGAGAAGCUGCCACUGAGAGGUCCUUCACUCCCUUGAUCACAAUAGAGAGAGAUUUGUGCUCAUCUAUUGCUUUAUAGAUGUUGCAAGAAGAUGAGCAGGUAGCCCAUCCUGCACCAGACAGCUAGAAUGCUCUGAACGACAUUUUCAGAAGACAAGUUACAGUGCUAAUGAGCCUGUCUUGUGUCCUCUGAACAAUCUGUGCUGGAGUUGGAAUAUAUUUCCUGUCGUUCAUCAGAAGAACUGGCAAGCAAGCAAAGCUGACAGAUGUAGUUCAGACUUGUGGGGAUUUCCUGUUGCAAAAGUUUGGCAUUCACUGACAUUUCCUGGUAGUGUAGAAAAGCCAGAAGAGUAAUAGAUUGUUGUAAUGGUUUGGCCUGAAGAUUCUUCCUGUGGACCUAAGUGGAUGAUGAUUUGAACUAUAUGUCCUGCAAGAAAUUCCCAGGAGGUGUUGAUGAGUGCACGUCUUCUUCCAAGACUGCUAAUGAAAAGCCACAGUGUUCUGGAGGAGGUACAGAUGGCUUCUGAAGGAUGGUUGUAUGAUGCUUCAUUCAGUGGGAUUCCGACUCAUCAUACCCAGCCUGCUACCUCAGAGACAGAAGCUGAUGUUUCAAAUAUGAUCACGGAGCUGAGUACCUUCUGGAGCAGUCACGCUGCAUCUUGGAUGAAUACCAAAGCUGCUGAGCCUUCAGCACUGCGACAGUCUCCAAGGGAGCUGGAAAUGUAUGACCCAAGAAGACCCACAGCUCCAGAAUUCACCAGGAAGCAUAGCAUCUCUUUCAUCCCAAGCUAGCUAAAACCUUUCUGUUAGAGCAGGUUUUUCCUAAUCAAAUACCUCUGUGUCAAAAGAUUGUUUGAGAAUUUGUGAUUUAUGUGUUUAAAGAGACAGAGGAAAGGGGCC
Molecule: long non-coding RNA, 1075 nt
Organism: Vidua chalybeata
Lineage: Eukaryota; Metazoa; Chordata; Aves; Passeriformes; Viduidae
Exons: 6
Source: RefSeq, a predicted model, not a curated record